CAAGUGUUUGAAAUUGUAUUUGAUAGUUUUGUUUGGAUAUAAUCUGUUUUUCAGGAAGAACGUGAGUUCCUUAUUCCGUCAACUAUGGUAUGAUGGCAUGAACCAUCAUGUUUUUACAAUUGGAACGUGUGAAGAUUCGAUAUUGUGAUGGAGCUUCACCUGCUGGAGAUGCAGUAUAUAAGAAUUGCGUGUGAAUGCGCGUGUGAAAUGAAUGACAGACAUCGUUGCUCUAUUUCAGAGGGUAAAAGCUUUGGGAAGCCAUCAUUCUUGAUCUUCUACCCAAAGGUUUAGGAAAGGCGCAUAAGAAAGGUUUAGGUGUGCAAGGGAUACAUCAUUCGGAAGAGAAGGCAUUUGAACUUCUGGAGCCAGUCACCAGUUUUCCUUUGGAUUGUGGGACAGUUUUGUUGAAGUUGAUGAACUGUUGAAGUUUCCGUAAAAUCUUUAUGAAUGUUUAUUUUAACAACUGUUGUUAACGAGUUGUGAAUUGGAUUUUUAUACUAAAUUUGUUUGGCAUCAUAAAAACUACUACAGUUUUCCUAUUAUGUAAAGCUGUUGUAAUUUCUUUUCUAUACUCUUUACUGAUCAAGAGUUGUUAAUAUUGAAAGCAAC
Rosa rugosa (rugosa rose) is the source of this 609-nucleotide long non-coding RNA. RefSeq lists it as uncharacterized. Lineage: Eukaryota; Viridiplantae; Streptophyta; Magnoliopsida; Rosales; Rosaceae. The transcript has 5 exons. The record is from RefSeq and is a predicted model, not a curated record.